AUGACGUCAAAUCAUCAUGCCCCUUAUGUUCUGGGCUACACACGUGCUACAAUGGCCGGUACAGACGGACGCAAAGCCGCGAGGCGGAGCAAAUCCGAAAAAGCCGGUCUCAGUUCGGAUUGCAGGCUGCAAUUCGCCUGCAUGAAGUCGGAAUCGCUAGUAAUCGCAGGUCAGCAUACUGCGGUGAAUACGUUCCCGGGCCUU
RNAcentral lists this ribosomal RNA (204 nucleotides) under uncultured Pelotomaculum sp. Its description in RNAcentral is "partial 16S ribosomal RNA". It matches the Rfam family "Bacterial small subunit ribosomal RNA", at positions 1179 to 1382 of the family's 1533-position model. The record is from RNAcentral. Lineage: Bacteria; Bacillati; Bacillota; Clostridia; Eubacteriales; Desulfotomaculaceae.